Molecule: long non-coding RNA, 157 nt
Organism: Melopsittacus undulatus (budgerigar)
Lineage: Eukaryota; Metazoa; Chordata; Aves; Psittaciformes; Psittaculidae
Exons: 3
Source: RefSeq, a predicted model, not a curated record
CUCACCACACCGCAGAGAAACAUGAAGGUCGCAGUGCUCAGCAUGGCCCUGCUCUUCACCAUCCUGCUGUGCACCCCAGCAAAUGCUCAGGUAGUUAUAGAAGAGAGUGGAGAUUACCUGGACGGGGAACUCAAAAUAGAGGAAGGGAAGAAGCCUG